RNAcentral lists this ribosomal RNA (497 nucleotides) under uncultured bacterium. RNAcentral's name for it is "partial 16S ribosomal RNA". It matches the Rfam family "Bacterial small subunit ribosomal RNA", at positions 28 to 507 of the family's 1533-position model. The record is from RNAcentral.
GAUGAACGCUGGCGGCGUGCCUAAUACAUGCAAGUCGAGCGAACAGACGAGGAGCUUGCUCCUCUGACGUUAGCGGCGGACGGGCGAGUAACACGUGGAUAACCUACCUCUAAGACUGGGAUAACUUCGGGAAACCGGAGCUACUACCGGAUAAUAUAUUGAACCGCAUGGUUCAAUAGUGAAAGACGGUUUUGCUGUCACUUAUAGAUGGAUCCGCGCCGCAUUAGCUAGUUGGUAAGGUAACGGCUUACCAAGGCAACGAUGCGUAGCCGACCUGAGAGGGUGAUCGGCCACACUGGAACUGAGACACGGUCCAGACUCCUACGGGAGGCAGCAGUAGGGAAUCUUCCGCAAUGGGCGAAAGCCUGACGGAGCAACGCCGCGUGAGUGAUGAAGGUCUUCGGAUCGUAAAACUCUGUUAUUAGGGAAGAACAAAUGUGUAAGUAACUAUGCACGUCUUGACGGUACCUAAUCAGAAAGCCACGGCUAACUACGUG